This 497-nucleotide ribosomal RNA is filed under the name uncultured bacterium. Its description in RNAcentral is "partial 16S ribosomal RNA". It matches the Rfam family "Bacterial small subunit ribosomal RNA", at positions 30 to 507 of the family's 1533-position model. The record is from RNAcentral.
CGAACGCUGGCGGCGUGCUUAACACAUGCAAGUCGAACGGGCCCGCUCUCUUUUUUGGGGGUGGGUUGAGUGGCGAACGGGUGAGUAUCACGUGAGUAACCUGCCCCCUGCUCCUGGAUAACUGCUUGAAAGGGCGGCUAAUACGGGGUGUGCCGGCUGGUCCGCAUGGGCCUGGUCGGGUUAGUUUCAUCUUCGGGGGUUUCGGUGGGGGAUGGGCUCGCGGCCUAUCAGCUUGUUGGUGGGGUGAUGGCCCACCAAGGCGGUGACGGGUAGCCGGCCUGAGAGGGUGGGCGGCCACACUGGGACUGAGACACGGCCCAGACUCCUGCGGGAGGCAGCAGUGGGGGGUAUUGCGCAAUGGGCGGAAGCCUGAUGCAGCGACGUCGCGUGAGGGAUGGAGGCCUUCGGGUUGUGAACCUCUUUCUCCGGUGGUGAAGGCCCUGUCCGUUGCGGCGGGGUUGACGGUAGCCGGGUAUGAAGCGCCGGCUAACUACGUG